AUUUUAUUAGUAUAAUAUUGUACAUCUGACUUCCAAUCAUUUAGUCCCUUCUGGAUAAAAUA
This 62-nucleotide transfer RNA is filed under the name Neelus murinus. RNAcentral describes it as "tRNA-Gly". Lineage: Eukaryota; Metazoa; Arthropoda; Collembola; Neelipleona; Neelidae. The record is from RNAcentral.